Molecule: ribosomal RNA, 1536 nt
Filed under: Bacteroides fragilis
Lineage: Bacteria; Pseudomonadati; Bacteroidota; Bacteroidia; Bacteroidales; Bacteroidaceae
Description: bacterial SSU rRNA
Rfam family: Bacterial small subunit ribosomal RNA
Source: RNAcentral
CUUUUACAAUGAAGAGUUUGAUCCUGGCUCAGGAUGAACGCUAGCUACAGGCUUAACACAUGCAAGUCGAGGGGCAUCAGGAAGAAAGCUUGCUUUCUUUGCUGGCGACCGGCGCACGGGUGAGUAACACGUAUCCAACCUGCCCUUUACUCGGGGAUAGCCUUUCGAAAGAAAGAUUAAUACCCGAUAGCAUAAUGAUUCCGCAUGGUUUCAUUAUUAAAGGAUUCCGGUAAAGGAUGGGGAUGCGUUCCAUUAGGUUGUUGGUGAGGUAACGGCCCACCAAGCCUUCGAUGGAUAGGGGUUCUGAGAGGAAGGUCCCCCACAUUGGAACUGAGACACGGUCCAAACUCCUACGGGAGGCAGCAGUGAGGAAUAUUGGUCAAUGGGCGCUAGCCUGAACCAGCCAAGUAGCGUGAAGGAUGAAGGCUCUAUGGGUCGUAAACUUCUUUUAUAUAAGAAUAAAGUGCAGUAUGUAUACUGUUUUGUAUGUAUUAUAUGAAUAAGGAUCGGCUAACUCCGUGCCAGCAGCCGCGGUAAUACGGAGGAUCCGAGCGUUAUCCGGAUUUAUUGGGUUUAAAGGGAGCGUAGGUGGACUGGUAAGUCAGUUGUGAAAGUUUGCGGCUCAACCGUAAAAUUGCAGUUGAUACUGUCAGUCUUGAGUACAGUAGAGGUGGGCGGAAUUCGUGGUGUAGCGGUGAAAUGCUUAGAUAUCACGAAGAACUCCGAUUGCGAAGGCAGCUCACUGGACUGCAACUGACACUGAUGCUCGAAAGUGUGGGUAUCAAACAGGAUUAGAUACCCUGGUAGUCCACACAGUAAACGAUGAAUACUCGCUGUUUGCGAUAUACAGUAAGCGGCCAAGCGAAAGCAUUAAGUAUUCCACCUGGGGAGUACGCCGGCAACGGUGAAACUCAAAGGAAUUGACGGGGGCCCGCACAAGCGGAGGAACAUGUGGUUUAAUUCGAUGAUACGCGAGGAACCUUACCCGGGCUUAAAUUGCAGUGGAAUGAUGUGGAAACAUGUCAGUGAGCAAUCACCGCUGUGAAGGUGCUGCAUGGUUGUCGUCAGCUCGUGCCGUGAGGUGUCGGCUUAAGUGCCAUAACGAGCGCAACCCUUAUCUUUAGUUACUAACAGGUUAUGCUGAGGACUCUAGAGAGACUGCCGUCGUAAGAUGUGAGGAAGGUGGGGAUGACGUCAAAUCAGCACGGCCCUUACGUCCGGGGCUACACACGUGUUACAAUGGGGGGUACAGAAGGCAGCUAGCGGGUGACCGUAUGCUAAUCCCAAAAUCCUCUCUCAGUUCGGAUCGAAGUCUGCAACCCGACUUCGUGAAGCUGGAUUCGCUAGUAAUCGCGCAUCAGCCACGGCGCGGUGAAUACGUUCCCGGGCCUUGUACACACCGCCCGUCAAGCCAUGGGAGCCGGGGGUACCUGAAGUACGUAACCGCAAGGAUCGUCCUAGGGUAAAACUGGUGACUGGGGCUAAGUCGUAACAAGGUAGCCGUACCGGAAGGUGCGGCUGGAACACCUCCUUUCU